This 402-nucleotide ribosomal RNA is filed under the name uncultured bacterium. RNAcentral's name for it is "bacterial SSU rRNA". It matches the Rfam family "Bacterial small subunit ribosomal RNA", at positions 976 to 1380 of the family's 1533-position model. The record is from RNAcentral.
CGGGCUUGAACCAAGAGUGACGAGUGCAGAGAUGCGCUUUUUCUUCGGACACUUUUGGAGGUGCUGCAUGGUUGUCGUCAGCUCGUGCCGUGAGGUGUCGGCUUAAGUGCCAUAACGAGCGCAACCCUUUUCUACGUUUGCCAUCGGGUAAUGCCGGGAACUCCGUGGAUACUGCCGCCGCAAGGCGGAGGAAGGUGGGGAUGACGUCAAAUCAGCACGGCCCUUACGUCCGGGGCUACACACGUGUUACAAUGGUCGGAGCAGCAGGAAGCUACCUGGCGACAGGAUGCUGAUCCCGAAACCCGGCCUCAGUUCGGACUGGAGUCUGCAACCCGACUCCACGAAGCCGGAUUCGCUAGUAAUCGCGCAUCAGCCAUGGCGCGGUGAAUACGUUCCCGGGCC